Molecule: ribosomal RNA, 253 nt
Filed under: uncultured bacterium
Lineage: Bacteria
Description: partial 16S ribosomal RNA
Rfam family: Bacterial small subunit ribosomal RNA
Source: RNAcentral
UACGUAGGUGACAAGCGUUGUCCGGAUUUACUGGGCGUAAAGCGUGCGCAGGCGGCUUUGCAAGACAGAUGUGAAAUCCCCGGGCUUAACCUGGGAACUGCAUUUGUGACUGCAUGGCUGGAGUGCGGCAGAGGGGGAUGGAAUUCCGCGUGUAGCAGUGAAAUGCGUAGAUAUGCGGAGGAACACCGAUGGCGAAGGCAAUCCCCUGGGCCUGCACUGACGCUCAUGCACGAAAGCGUGGGGAGCAAACAGG